Long non-coding RNA from Dermochelys coriacea (leatherback sea turtle), 2465 nucleotides. RefSeq lists it as uncharacterized. NCBI's taxonomy places the organism in Eukaryota, Metazoa, Chordata, Testudines, Dermochelyidae. The transcript has 2 exons. The record is from RefSeq and is a predicted model, not a curated record.
CAGGACCCCUGGAUUCUCGGCCCAGCUCUGAGAGGGGAGUGGGGGCUAGAGGUUAGAACCAGGAGGCGAUGGACCGAGCUAAUCUAUUGACAUUUAGUCCCUGGAUGGGGUCCUUCCAGGGCAGGCCAAAUUUGGCGUUUGAUUCCUCCAGAGGGGGCUGUUGGGGCAGCCCCUCCUUGCUGUGGGGGUGGAGGGCUGGGUUGUGGCUGGCUGUACUUUGAAUCCCGAGGUGCUUAUCAAAUAUUUACAGCCAGGCUAAUCAUUAACCUGCUUGUGCUUUAUGGGCCUGGCCUCCUGGUGAAAAGAUAGCCCAGCCCCACCCGGCCCAUCAGUCCCUCCAGCUCUGGCAGGGUCCAGGCUGGCAAGGGUACAGUGAAGGGGAGACAGACAGACAGACAGACCGACCCAAGGGAGAUGCCAAGGUGCCCAAUUCAGGAUCCCCUGUCUCCGGCAGGUGACUACCUCCAUCCCAACCUGAGUCCGGCACACAGCUCUCACCUCGCGCCAGCGAUGCACUGUCCAAGCAUCACUUGGAGAAACGCUUCCCCUUGAACUCGCAUCCCGGCGUGCAGGAAGCCCCUAUUGCACAUGAUCCCCUGGGGCUGGAAGUGACCGACAGACACCACCUCCUGCCUAGUGGGAGACUGCCCCCUGCUAGAAGGUGAUGCCUAAUGGAUGUAACAGCAACUCCAUGUGGAAGGUUUCAUCCUGUUUCCAGUGGGGCUGCUGUUAUUUUUGAUAGGCUGUCAGGAGCGUCGCAUGGAGCAGGGGGCAGGAUGGGGGGAACAUCAGCUAGAGAGUGUUUGUGGGGGGGUAGGAGAUGCUGGGUCGAGCCCCACCCCCAGAGGGUGUAUACCGGCUAGGGCCUCUCGGUAUUACUGUAAUACUCAGAAUAAUGCACACACCAUAAUGGGGACUGUAGCGGGGUGGUCACUGGCUCCUGCCCUGAAGGGCUUGAAAUCAGCCCUGGGAGAAGGCUGAGGCUGCGAGAGGGCUGUUGUUAGGGAAAGCAGCAAGCCUCGGCUAAUUGGGGAAACAGCCACAGCUGUGGCCACACCCCAGUCAGGGUCCAGCUGGCCUUUAUAAGAGGGCAGUGGGCCAGGAGGACCCAGCCUCUCUCUUCAUGUUGAAAGGGAGGAGUCUGACUGCUAGGAGCUGAGCAGAGUACCUAAAGUGGAGCAGGGCGGGAGAGCUCCGGCCUGAGAAACCCACAGGCUGAAGGCCUAGGAAAAGGGAACUGGAGUUGCAGAGGGUAGCCCAAGGGUAGGCAGAAGCAGCAGGUCCAGACCCUCCUUGCUGAUGAGUGGCAAUUGUACUGCAGUCCGCCCCAGGGAGCGGGGGCUAGAUGGUGACUGGCAGUAGCCAAAGACUGAAGCGAGGUGAGGAUAGAGGGUGGAGGUUCCCUGUGGGGGUGAGACCCAGAUUUGUGGGGGUACUGUCAGGGGGCAGCACCCUGAUGUGAAAAGGGUACUGGAGUCUGGGAGGGACUUGGGGGCCCAGCUGCAAGCGGAACACCGGCCUGCAGAGGGUGCUCUGGAGGCUGGAAAUGCUAAUUCCCUGGACCACCAGCAGGAGGCGCUGCAGGGGUGAGUCCCACUCCACUGCAGAGACCCUGAGCUCAGUUGGGGCCUCCAGGUGCUACCAUAAUACUAUUAAUAAUGCGCACAUAAUAAAGCCCCAUCUCAAUCUGGGCAUCUAGAUGCUACCAUUCUGCCACUAAUAAUGUGCACUUUAGAAGGAGACACUGAUCUGGGUUAGGACCUUCUGCUGUUACUGUAAUACUGCUAAUAAUGUGCACCUCACAAUGGCCUGUAAAUACAACUUUUAUACUACUACUAAUGUGCACCCCCUAAGGGGGCCCCGACUGCAGUUGAGGCCUCUAGGAGCUACCAUAAUAUUACUAAUAGUGAGCAUGACAUAAUUUGUUCCACCUCCACAGGGUACUGUAACACUGCUAAUAAUGCACAAGCUUUAAUGAGGCCCGAUCUCAGUAAUACACCUAACACAGGGAUGACAACAGCCAGUCCCACGCUGGGAGUCAAGCCGCUGGAGAUUCAGAGCGGGCUCUGGCCAGCUCUUCCUUGUGUGUUGGUAGCCAGAGGGGUGGCGGGUGAGCAAAGAUAGGAGGGGGGCUAGGGAGCUGGUUUCCCACCUGCAGCAGGGCUGGAAGGCGGCUCUGGGACACAGGGGCUUUAAGAGCGGAUGGGGGCAGGGCAGAUAAGGAGCCGCCCCCCAAGACCCAGUGCACAGGACUAUGACCUAUGAAUUGACAGCCAGUCCUUCUGCCAUGCCCUGGCUGUCAGUUCUGUAGGGCACAGGUAUGUUCACCUCCGUGACCUCGGCAUGGCGACCGGCGGGUGUGCCAGGGAGCGAGGGGUUACCUGGGGCUGGGGUGGGAGGGAUGGGAGAUGACUGGAUGGAUGGGGAAGACCUGAGGAGGGGAAAUAAACUGGAUUCCCAGCAAA